CGCACACACUGCUAAAACGUGGGGUUUUGGACCUAUGCACGGUCCCGUGUUAACGCAGGGACCGCGUUACCAUGGAUUCCAAUGACGGUAAUUAAAUUUGGGAUCCAUCCGUGAUCCCGCGCUAUAACCAAAUUUGCGCUAUAUGGACGCACAUUCUAGCAAGGGUCCGCUGUGUGUGGGAAGAAGAAUCACAAAUCAUGAUUUCAUGCAUAAGUAUAAUAAUCCUCCUCCUAGUUUCUUGAAGUCCUAAGUGAACAGCAGUCACUACUCAUUUAAAAGUGAAAUUCAAAUGGGUUGGAAUAUCAAAUCAUCAUUUUCUACCAUUCAAAUAAUCCUUGACAUUUUUUGCUUAUUUUUCAGCUUAUUUUCCCCAAACAGUGUAAAUAGUUUAUCUUCAGUAUCUUUUCCUAUUUUCCUCUUACUGCAAUGAAGAAUUCUCUCUUCAUUUGAUAUUUUCUGUUUUUUAAACUGAAGGUAAAUCCCUCUGCAAAGAAACAGUUUUGUUAGUCUUGUCUAAUCUGUGAUUAAAACCUUGGGUUAGGAAAACCAGCUCCAUGGAGACUUGUGUGCAGUGGUUAGUUCAAAGGUUACCAAUAAUACUGCUUACCAGCCAAAGCACUGUAUUGAAAUUAGCAAAUGUACUUCACAGAGUUCAGCACUGACUUCAUAGCUGUGUUCACUUACUGUUUCCCUGUGGUUUAUCUAGUCAUGUAUCAGAUAUUUUCAGUACUCCCUGCACUUUCAAUGAUGUAAUAAAUUUGUACUCAUGAAGUUCGGCUAACAGACAUGCAGCAAGAUCAGUUUAUUUUGUAGUGUUGGUAAUGAGCAAUUUAAACUGCUAUACAGAGACAGGGUCUGGUUUGAGCAGGCAAACUCUUGCUUAACAUUCCCAAAUGUCUUUCAGUUCUUGGGAGAGGUAGGAAAAUGAGGGCAAAGAAAGAAAUGUUGCAUCAUUUUCUGUACAUUUGGACUUAUUCUAGCAAAUGGGCUCCCAGAUCCUCACUAAUGAGUGUGGUUAUUUCUUAUUUCAUAAAUUACUAUGCAGUUUGGUUCACUGUAUUAUCUGUAUUUAGUGAUUGCAAGAUACUUAUGCCACUGAUUUGAAUUCCAUCCAAGAUAAACUGAAGAAGUUAUUUGAAUAAUGCGUAUAUCGGUAUCCUUAACUGCAAAAAUGUAAAUUUGAAACUUGUAUAAUGUUGUGCUUUUGAAAUAAAAUAUCUUGUACAUGUAUAUUUAAAAGAGGAAAUAAAGUAACUUCUCAUACA
This is a non-coding RNA of Chelonoidis abingdonii (Abingdon island giant tortoise), 1265 nucleotides long. Lineage: Eukaryota; Metazoa; Chordata; Testudines; Testudinidae. The record is from RefSeq and is a predicted model, not a curated record.